RNAcentral lists this ribosomal RNA (316 nucleotides) under Macrelmis sp. Colombia. RNAcentral's name for it is "partial small subunit ribosomal RNA". Lineage: Eukaryota; Metazoa; Arthropoda; Insecta; Coleoptera; Elmidae. The record is from RNAcentral.
CUUCGUAUUUAGUUUCUUCUUGAAAAUUAAAGAUUUUGGCGGUAUUUUAGUCUAUUCAGAGGAACCUGUUCUGUAAUUGAUAAUCCACGAUUUACUUUACUUGAUUAACUUGUAUAUCGUCGUUUUUGAACAUUUUAUGAGAAUUAUAAUGUUCAAUUUUUUGUUUAAAGUUUAAGUCAGAUCAAGGUGUAGUUUAUAUUCAAGAAGAAAUGGGUUACAAUAAAUUUAUUUAAAUGGUUUGUUAGAUGAAAUUUUAUUAAUAAAGUGGGAAAGUAAUAUUUUUAAUUAGAUAAUAUGAUUUAAGCUCUAAAAUAUG